CCUACGGGAGGCAGCAGUGGGGAAUUUUGGACAAUGGGGGCAACCCUGAUCCAGCAAUGCCGCGUGAGUGAAGAAGGCCUUCGGGUUGUAAAGCUCUUUUGUCAGGGAAGAAAAGGCUGUGGCUAAUAUCUACGGCUCAUGACGGUACCUGAAGAAUAAGCACCGGCUAACUACGUGCCAGCAGCCGCGGUAAUACGUAGGGUGCAAGCGUUAAUCGGAAUUACUGGGCGUAAAGCGUGCGCAGGCGGUUUUGUAAGACUGUCGUGAAAUCCCCGGGCUCAACCUGGGAAUGGCGAUGGUGACUGCAAGGCUAGAGUUUGGCAGAGGGGGGUAGAAUUCCACGUGUAGCAGUGAAAUGCGUAGAUAUGUGGAGGAACACCGAUGGCGAAGGCAGCCCCCUGGGUCAAAACUGACGCUCAUGCACGAAAGCGUGGGGAGCAAACAGGAUUAGAUACCCUGGUAGUCCACGCCCUAAACGAUGUCUACUAGUUGUCGGGUCUUAAUUGACUUGGUAACGCAGCUAACGCGUGAAGUAGACCGCCUGGGGAGUACGGUCGCAAAGNUUAAAACUCAAAGGAAUUGACGGCUGAGAGNGCGAGACGACGACGAGGAGGAGG
RNAcentral lists this ribosomal RNA (617 nucleotides) under uncultured bacterium. Its description in RNAcentral is "bacterial SSU rRNA". It matches the Rfam family "Bacterial small subunit ribosomal RNA", at positions 338 to 947 of the family's 1533-position model. The record is from RNAcentral.